Molecule: ribosomal RNA, 632 nt
Filed under: Salmonella enterica
Lineage: Bacteria; Pseudomonadati; Pseudomonadota; Gammaproteobacteria; Enterobacterales; Enterobacteriaceae
Description: partial 23S ribosomal RNA
Rfam family: Bacterial large subunit ribosomal RNA
Source: RNAcentral
GUGUACGUACAAGCAGUGGGAGCACCCUUUGGGGUGUGACUGCGUACCUUUUGUAUAAUGGGUCAGCGACUUAUAUUCUGUAGCAAGGUUAACCGUAUAGGGGAGCCGGAGGGAAACCGAGUCUUAACCGGGCGUUAAGUUGCAGGGUAUAGACCCGAAACCCGGUGAUCUAGCCAUGGGCAGGUUGAAGGUUGGGUAACACUAACUGGAGGACCGAACCGACUAAUGUUGAAAAAUUAGCGGAUGACCUGUGGCUGGGGGUGAAAGGCCAAUCAAACCGGGAGAUAGCUGGUUCUCCCCGAAAGCUAUUUAGGUAGCGCCUCGUGAAUUCAUCUCCGGGGGUAGAGCACUGUUUCGGCUAGGGGGCCAUCCCGGCUUACCAACCCGAUGCAAACUGCGAAUACCGGAGAAUGUUAUCACGGGAGACACACGGCGGGUGCUAACGUCCGUCGUGAAGAGGGAAACAACCCAGACCGCCAGCUAAGGUCCCAAAGUCAUGGUUAAGUGGGAAACGAUGUGGGAAGGCCCAGACAGCCAGGAUGUUGGCUUAGAAGCAGCCAUCAUUUAAAGAAAGCGUAAUAGCUCACUGGUCGAGUCGGCCUGCGCGGAAGAUGUAACGGGGCUAAACCAUG